This 253-nucleotide ribosomal RNA is filed under the name uncultured bacterium. RNAcentral's name for it is "partial 16S ribosomal RNA". It matches the Rfam family "Bacterial small subunit ribosomal RNA", at positions 524 to 776 of the family's 1533-position model. The record is from RNAcentral.
UACGUAGGUGACAAGCGUUGUCCGGAUUUACUGGGCGUAAAGAGCGCGCAGGCGGUCGUUCAAGUCGAGUGUGAAAGCCCCCGGCUCAACUGGGGAGGGGCAUUCGAUACUGGUCGACUCGAAGGCAGGAGAGGGUAGUGGAAUUCCCGGUGUAGUGGUGAAAUGCGUAGAUAUCGGGAGGAACACCAGUGGCGAAGGCGACUACCUGGCCUGUUCUUGACGCUGAGGCGCGAAAGCUAGGGGAGCAAACGGG